This 88-nucleotide ribosomal RNA is filed under the name Carlito syrichta (Philippine tarsier). The record is from RNAcentral. Lineage: Eukaryota; Metazoa; Chordata; Mammalia; Primates; Tarsiidae.
GUCUAUGGCCAUACCACCCUAAAUGCACUCGAUCUUGUCUGAUCUUGGAAGACAGUAGGUGCUGGCAAAGCCCGGUUGGCUAGGGUUC